GGGUAUAUAGCUCAGUGCUAGAGUGCAUGCUUAGUAUGCACGAGGUCCUGGGUUCAAUCCCCAGUACCUCUG
RNAcentral lists this transfer RNA (72 nucleotides) under Camelus bactrianus (Bactrian camel). It matches the Rfam family "tRNA". From Rfam's summary of the family: Transfer RNA (tRNA) molecules are approximately 80 nucleotides in length. Their secondary structure includes four short double-helical elements and three loops (D, anti-codon, and T loops). Lineage: Eukaryota; Metazoa; Chordata; Mammalia; Artiodactyla; Camelidae. The record is from Rfam by way of RNAcentral. RNAcentral also lists the same sequence under 2 other names.